CCUACGGGGGGCAGCAGUGAGGAAUAUUGGUCAAUGGCCGGAAGGCUGAACCAGCCAUGCCGCGUGAAGGUCAGUGCCCUAUGGGCGUUAAACUUCUUUUGUGCGGGAGCAAUAAUGGUCACGUGUGGCCAGACGAGAGUACCGUACGAAUAAGCAUCGGCUAACUCCGUGCCAGCAGCCGCGGUAAUACGGGGGAUGCAAGCGUUAUCCGGAUUUAUUGGGUUUAAAGGGUGCGUAGGCUGUGAGGUAAGGCAGCGGUGAAAUGCCCCCGCUCAACGGGGUGAAGUGCCAUUGAUACUGCCUGGCUGGAAUGCGGAUGCCGUGGGAGGAAUGUGUGGUGUAGCGGUGAAAUGCAUAGAUAUCACACAGAACACCGAUUGCGAAGGCAUCUCACGAAUCCGCGAUUGACGCUGAUGCACGAAAGCGUGGGUAUCAAACAGGAUUAGAUACCCUAGUAGUC
This 460-nucleotide ribosomal RNA is filed under the name uncultured bacterium. RNAcentral's name for it is "partial 16S ribosomal RNA". It matches the Rfam family "Bacterial small subunit ribosomal RNA", at positions 338 to 795 of the family's 1533-position model. The record is from RNAcentral.